UCCUUAGGGUGGUUGGUUAGAGAUCUGAGUCAUGCCUUCAGAUCUCAAACCAAGGCCAGGGAGGAAUAGAUCUAAAAGCCAUGCUUACCGUGGAGCACAUUCUAAGAUAAUAUCUGCUGAUACUGGUAACAGAGGCCAGACUCCGAGUUCUGGCCAUGGAAACAACAUGGCCGGUGCCUCUCUGUUUGGCUUCUGGACUGCAAUAAGCCAGUGUCUACAAAAUUUGUGGGCACGAAGGCACAUAGGCCUGCUUCUGCUUUUACUCUGGAUUCUGGUGAUCUUGUGCUAUCUUGUGAACCCUGACUCUCUGCCUCCAAGCACGAAAUUGUCCUGGCUCGGUGACACUGCAGAACUUGGACCCCAGUGGGACAGUAUGUUGGACUUUUUCUUUCCAACAAGGACCAACAUAGCCAAAGCAUGCAUCAUCAGGGACAAUAAGGAGUUGGUGGCAUGUAAUAACCAGCCAUAUAUCAGCAAAACUGAAUGUUUAAGUUCCAAGUGCUGUUUUUCAUCAUCUGGGACUGAAAUCAAAUGCCAUGCCCCACUAAGGGAUAAGCCUACACAGAUGCUCCGGCUGUUUGGAUGUGUUAUGAUCAGCAUGGUAAUCCUGGGAUUUCUGCCUGUGUACUGCUGUUCCCUUUGCCGGAGGAGGAAGAAAAUGAACAGGAUAUUGAAGGUUUUGAAGAAACAGAAAGCAAAACUGAAGAAGGAGCCGAAAGGAAGGAUGGUGUCAGAAGAGAGAGCUUUAAUUUCUGGUUGAGAAUGCAGAUGCCAGAAGAGACUUCCUUAGUCAUCUAAAUCCAGUUUAGAAAGUCUAUUUUUCGUUGUACUUUCCAAUCAAAAUAAAGU
RNAcentral lists this long non-coding RNA (849 nucleotides) under Rattus norvegicus (Norway rat). RNAcentral describes it as "long non-coding RNA NONRATT002876". Lineage: Eukaryota; Metazoa; Chordata; Mammalia; Rodentia; Muridae. The record is from RNAcentral.